UCAGGACGAACGCGGGCUGGGUGCUUAACACAUGCAAGUCGAACGCUGAAGCCCCAGCUUGCUGGGGUGGAUGAGUGGCGAACGGGUGAGUAACACGUGAGUAACCUGCCCCUGACUUCGGGAUAAGCCCGGGAAACUGGGUCUAAUACCGGAUACGACGGCCGGACGCAUGUCUGGUGGUGGAAAGUUUUUUCGGUUGGGGAUGGGCUCGCGGCCUAUCAGUUUGUUGGUGAGGUAAUGGCUCACCAAGACGACGACGGGUAGCCGGCCUGAGAGGGCGACCGGCCACACUGGGACUGAGACACGGCCCAGACUCCUACGGGAGGCAGCAGUGGGGAAUAUUGCACAAUGGGGGAAACCCUGAUGCAGCGACGCAGCGUGCGGGAUGACGGCCUUCGGGUUGUAAACCGCUUUCAGCAGGGAAGAAGCCUCAGGGUGACGGUACCUGCAGAAGAAGUACCGGCUAACUACGUGCCAGCAGCCGCGGUAAUACGUAGGGUACGAGCGUUGUCCGGAAUUAUUGGGCGUAAAGAGCUCGUAGGUGGUUGGUCACGUCUGCUGUGGAAACGCAACGCUUAACGUUGCGCGUGCAGUGGGUACGGGCUGACUAGAGUGCAGUAGGGGAGUCUGGAAUUCCUGGUGUAGCGGUGAAAUGCGCAGAUAUCAGGAGGAACACCGGUGGCGAAGGCGGGACUCUGGGCUGUAACUGACACUGAGGAGCGAAAGCAUGGGGAGCGAACAGGAUUAGAUACCCUGGUAGUCCAUGCCGUAAACGUUGGGCACUAGGUGUGGGGGGCAUUCCACGUUCUCCGCGCCGUAGCUAACGCAUUAAGUGCCCCGCCUGGGGAGUACGGUCGCAAGGCUAAAACUCAAAGGAAUUGACGGGGGCCCGCACAAGCGGCGGAGCAUGCGGAUUAAUUCGAUGCAACGCGAAGAACCUUACCAAGGCUUGACAUACACCAGACCGGUCUGGAAACAGKCCUUCCCCUUUGGGGUUGGUGUACAGGUGGUGCAUGGUUGUCGUCAGCUCGUGUCGUGAGAUGUUGGGUUAAGUCCCGCAACGAGCGCAACCCUCGUUCUAUGUUGCCAGCACGUGAUGGUGGGAACUCAUAGGAGACUGCCGGGGUCAACUCGGAGGAAGGUGGGGAUGACGUCAAAUCAUCAUGCCCUUUAUGUCUUGGGCUUCACGCAUGCUACAAUGGCUGGUACAGAGAGAGGCGAACCCGUGAGGGCAAGCGAAUCCCUUAAAGCCAGUCUCAGUUCGGAUCGUAGUCUGCAAUUCGACUACGUGAAGUCGGAGUCGCUAGUAAUCGCAGAUCAGCAACGCUGCGGUGAAUACGUUCCCGGGCCUUGUACACACCGCCCGUCAAGUCACGAAAGUCGGUAACACCCGAAGCCGGUGGCCUAACCCCUUGUGGGAGGGGGCCGUCUAAGGUGGGACUGGUGAUUGGG
Molecule: ribosomal RNA, 1452 nt
Rfam family: Bacterial small subunit ribosomal RNA